AGAGUUUGAUCCUGGCUCAGAUUGAACGCUGGCGGAAUGCUUUACACAUGCAAGUCGAACGGCAGCACGGAGAGCUUGCUCUCUGGUGGCGAGUGGCGAACGGGUGAGUAAUAUAUCGGAACGUGUCCAAUAAUGGGGGAUAACGAGUCGAAAGAUUCGCUAAUACCGCAUACGCCCUACGGGGGAAAGCAGGGGAUCGUAAGACCUUGCGUUAAUGGAGCGGCCGAUAUCUGAUUAGCUUGUUGGUGAGGUAAAGGCUCACCAAGGCGACGAUCAGUAGCUGGUUUGAGAGAACGACCAGCCACACUGGAACUGAGACACGGUCCAGACUCCUACGGGAGGCAGCAGUGGGGAAUUUUGGACAAUGGGGGCAACCCUGAUCCAGCCAUUCCGCGUGAGUGAAGAAGGCCUUCGGGUUGUAAAGCUCUUUCGCAAGGGAAGAAAACUUAUGAUCGAAUAAAUCAUGAGGUUGACGGUACCUUGAUAAGAAGCACCGGCUAACUACGUGCCAGCAGCCGCGGUAAUACGUAGGGUGCGAGCGUUAAUCGGAAUUACUGGGCGUAAAGCGUGCGCAGGCGGUUUUGUAAGUCGGAUGUGAAAUCCCCGGGCUCAACCUGGGAACUGCGUUCGAAACUGCAAGGCUAGAGUGUGUCAGAGGGGGGUAGAAUUCCACGUGUAGCAGUGAAAUGCGUAGAGAUGUGGAGGAAUACCAAUGGCGAAGGCAGCCCCCUGGGAUAACACUGACGCUCAUGCACGAAAGCGUGGGGAGCAAACAGGAUUAGAUACCCUGGUAGUCCACGCCCUAAACGAUGUCAACUAGUUGUUGGUAGAGUAAAAUCUAUGAGUAACGUAGCUAACGCGUGAAGUUGACCGCCUGGGGAGUACGGUCGCAAGAUUAAACUCAAAGGAAUUGACGGGG
RNAcentral lists this ribosomal RNA (919 nucleotides) under uncultured bacterium. RNAcentral describes it as "bacterial SSU rRNA". It matches the Rfam family "Bacterial small subunit ribosomal RNA", at positions 8 to 918 of the family's 1533-position model. The record is from RNAcentral.